Molecule: ribosomal RNA, 497 nt
Filed under: uncultured bacterium
Lineage: Bacteria
Description: partial 16S ribosomal RNA
Rfam family: Bacterial small subunit ribosomal RNA
Source: RNAcentral
GAUGAACGCUGGCGGCGUGCCUAAUACAUGCAAGUCGAGCGAACAGAUAAGGAGCUUGCUCCUUUGACGUUAGCGGCGGACGGGUGAGUAAAACGUGGGUAACCUACCUAUAAGACUGGGAUAACUUCGGGAAACCGGAGCUAAUACCGGAUAACAUUUGGAACCGCAUGGUUCUAAAGUGAAAGAUGGUUUUGCUAUCACUUAUAGAUGGACCCGCGCCGUAUUAGCUAGUUGGUAAGGUAACGGCUUACCAAGGCGACGAUACGUAGCCGACCUGAGAGGGUGAUCGGCCACACUGGAACUGAGACACGGUCCAGACUCCUACGGGAGGCAGCAGUAGGGAAUCUUGCGCAAUGGGCGAAAGCCUGACGGAGCAACGCCGCGUGAGUGAUGAAGGGUUUCGGCUCGUAAAACUCUGUUAUUAGGGAAGAACAAACGUGUAAGUAACUGUGCACGUCUUGACGUUACCUAAUCAGAAAGCCACGGCUAACUACGUG